CCUUCCUACGGGACGCAGCAGUGGGGAAUAUUGCACAAUGAGGGAAACCCUGAUGCAGCGACGCCGCGUGAGUGAAGAAGUAAUUCGUUACGUAAAGCUCUAUCAGCAGGGAAGAAAAUGACGGUACCUGAGUAAGAAGCCCCGGCUAACUACGUGCCAGCAGCCGCGGUAAUACGUAGGGGGUAAGCGUUAUCCGGAUUUACUGGGUGUAAAGGGAGCGUAGACGGUGCGCCAAGUCUGGAGUGAAAU
This 249-nucleotide ribosomal RNA is filed under the name uncultured bacterium. RNAcentral's name for it is "partial 16S ribosomal RNA". It matches the Rfam family "Bacterial small subunit ribosomal RNA", at positions 334 to 600 of the family's 1533-position model. The record is from RNAcentral.